Molecule: ribosomal RNA, 402 nt
Filed under: uncultured bacterium
Lineage: Bacteria
Description: bacterial SSU rRNA
Rfam family: Bacterial small subunit ribosomal RNA
Source: RNAcentral
UGGGGAAUAUUGGACAAUGGGGGAAACCCUGAUCCAGCAAUGCCGCGUGAGUGAAGAAGGCCUUAGGGUUGUAAAGCUCUUUCGCCCGCGAAGAUAAUGACGGUAGCGGGAGAAGAAGCCCCGGCUAACUCCGUGCCAGCAGCCGCGGUAAUAUGGAGGGGGCUAGCGUUGUUCGGAAUUACUGGGCGUAAAGCGUACGUAGGCGGAUGCGCAAGUUGGGGGUGAAAUCCCGGGGCUUAACCUCGGAAUUGCCCUCAAAACUGCACGUCUUGAGACCGAGAGAGGUAAGGGGAAUUCCUAGUGUAGAGGUGAAAUUCGUAGAUAUUAGGAAGAACACCAGUGGCGAAGGCGCCUUACUGGCUCGGUACUGACGCUGAGGUACGAAAGCGUGGGGAGCAAACA